RNAcentral lists this small RNA (28 nucleotides) under Bombyx mori (domestic silkworm). RNAcentral describes it as "ovarian small RNA-30803". Lineage: Eukaryota; Metazoa; Arthropoda; Insecta; Lepidoptera; Bombycidae. The record is from RNAcentral.
UGAACUACUGUGCGGUCCCAAGUCAUAC